GCCGGUGUCGAUGACGCGGAGGUCCCACCUGUUCCCAUUCCGAACACAGAAGUUAAGCUCCGUUGUGCCGAAAAUACUUGGCUGGAGACGGCCUGGGAAGAUAGGUAGACGCCGGCU
This 117-nucleotide ribosomal RNA is filed under the name Allofournierella massiliensis. The record is from RNAcentral. Lineage: Bacteria; Bacillati; Bacillota; Clostridia; Eubacteriales; Oscillospiraceae.